RNAcentral lists this unclassified non-coding RNA (379 nucleotides) under plant metagenome. RNAcentral's name for it is "partial contains 5.8S ribosomal RNA, internal transcribed spacer 2, and large subunit ribosomal RNA". The stretch from base 1 to 106 matches the Rfam family "5.8S ribosomal RNA", at positions 49 to 154 of the family's 154-position model. The record is from RNAcentral.
CGAAAUGCGAUAAGUAAUGUGAAUUGCAGAAUUCAGUGAAUCAUCGAAUCUUUGAACGCACCUUGCGCUCCUUGGUAUUCCUUGGAGCAUGCCUGUUUGAGUAUCAUGAAAUCUUCAAAGUAAAUCUUUUGUUAACUCAAUUGGUUUCUACUUUGGCAUUGGAGGUCUUUGCAGCUUCACACCUGCUCCUCUUUGUUCAUUAGCUGGAUCUCAGUGUUAUGCUUGGUUCCACUCGGCGUGAUAAGUUAUCUAUCGCUGAGGACACUGUAAAAGGUGGCCAAGGUAAAUGCAGAUGAACCGCUUCUAAUAGUCCAUUGACUUGGACAAUACUUUUAUGAUCUGAUCUCAAAUCAGGUAGGACUACCCGCUGAACUUAAGC